Molecule: unclassified non-coding RNA, 298 nt
Filed under: fungal sp.
Lineage: Eukaryota; Fungi
Description: partial internal transcribed spacer region
Rfam family: Eukaryotic small subunit ribosomal RNA (bases 1-46)
Source: RNAcentral
AAGUCGUAACAAGGUUUCCGUAGGUGAACCUGCGGAAGGAUCAUCAAAAAAGAUGGCGUGUGCUUCUCUCUGAGAAUGUAGACGCCGUUUCAUCUUUUGUGCACUUGUCUCUUGGAUUUCUGUCUUGGUUGCGGGUGGCGGGGAGUUGUGCGUGCCUCGUGCAUGCGCGGCGCCUCGUCUGCCCGCGGACCUUGCAGACCUCACCACACCUGAAUCUUUGCCUAAACUCGGUGACUCGCUUGCGAGCACGCCACACAUAACAAAAAAUAACUUUUAACAACGGAUCUCUUGGCUCUCC